AUACGGAGGAUGCGAGCGUUAUCCGGAUCUAUUGGGUUUAAAGGGUGCGUAGGCGGUUUUUUAAGUCAGCGGUGAAACGCAAGGGCUCAACCCUUGACCUGCCGUUGAAACUGGAGGACUUGAAUGCGGAUGCUGUGGGAGGAAUGUGUGGUGUAGCGGUGAAAUGCAUAGAUAUCACACAGAACACCGAUUGCGAAGGCAUCUCACAAAUCCGUGAUUGACGCUGAGGCACGAAAGUGUGGGGAUCAAACAGGAUUAGAUACCCUGGUAGUCCACACUGUAAACGAUGAUGACUCGCUGUCGGCGAUAUACAGUCGGUGGCCAAGCGAAAGCGAUAAGUCAUCCACCUGGGGAGUACGACCGCAAGGUUGAAACUCAAAGGAAUUGACGGGG
This 393-nucleotide ribosomal RNA is filed under the name uncultured bacterium. RNAcentral's name for it is "partial 16S ribosomal RNA". It matches the Rfam family "Bacterial small subunit ribosomal RNA", at positions 523 to 918 of the family's 1533-position model. The record is from RNAcentral.